AUUGAACGCUGGCGGCAUGCUUUACACAUGCAAGUCGAACGGCAGCACGGGUGCUUGCACCUGGUGGCGAGUGGCGAACGGGUGAGUAAUGCAUCGGAACGUACCUAUCAGUGGGGGAUAACACAUCGAAAGAUGUGCUAAUACCGCAUAUUAUCCGAGGAUGAAAGCGGGGGACCUUAGGGCCUCGCGCUGAUAGAGCGGCCGAUGUCGGAUUAGCUAGUUGGUGAGGUAAAGGCUCACCAAGGCGACGAUCCGUAGCGGGUCUGAGAGGAUGAUCCGCCACACUGGGACUGAGACACGGCCCAGACUCCUACGGGAGGCAGCAGUGGGGAAUUUUGGGACAAUGGGCGAAAGCCUGAUCCAGCCAUGCCGCGUGAGUGAAGAAGGCCUCGGGUUGUAAACUGCUUUGUACGGUAACGAAAAGGUACUCGUCUUAAUACGGGGGCGUCAUGACGGUACCGUAAGAAUAAG
Molecule: ribosomal RNA, 471 nt
Filed under: uncultured bacterium
Lineage: Bacteria
Description: bacterial SSU rRNA
Rfam family: Bacterial small subunit ribosomal RNA
Source: RNAcentral